Molecule: ribosomal RNA, 253 nt
Filed under: uncultured bacterium
Lineage: Bacteria
Description: partial 16S ribosomal RNA
Rfam family: Bacterial small subunit ribosomal RNA
Source: RNAcentral
UACGUAGGGGGCUAGCGUUGUCCGGAAUCAUUGGGCGUAAAGCGCGUGUAGGCGGUUCGGUAAGUCCGCUGUGAAAGUCGGGGGCUCAACCCUCGAAUGCCGGUGGAUACUGUCGGACUAGAGUACGGAAGAGGCGAGUGGAAUUCCUGGUGUAGCGGUGAAAUGCGUAGAGAUCAGGAGGAACACCCAUGGCGAAGGCAGCUCUCUGGUCGACCUCUGACGCUGAGACGCGAAAGCGUGGGGAGCGAACGGG